UUUGUGUGAAGAGAGAUAAAGCGUAACAAGGUCUCCGUAGGUGAACCUGCGGAGGGAUCAUUACACAAAUAUGAAGGCGGGCUGGAACCUCUCGGGGUUACAGCCUUGCUGAAUUAUUCACCCUUGUCUUUUGCGUACUUCUUGUUUCCUUGGUGGGUUCGCCCACCACUAGGACAAACAUAAACCUUUUGUAAUUGCAAUCAGCGUCAGUAACAAAUUAAUAAUUACAACUUUCAACAACGGAUCUCUUGGUUCUGGCAUCGAUGAAGAACGCAGCGAAAUGCGAUAAGUAGUGUGAAUUGCAGAAUUCAGUGAAUCAUCGAAUCUUUGAACGCACAUUGCGCCCUUUGGUAUUCCAAAGGGCAUGCCUGUUCGAGCGUCAUUUGUACCCUCAAGCUUUGCUUGGUGUUGGGCGUCUUGUCUCUAGCUUUGCUGGAGACUCGCCUUAAAGUAAUUGGCAGCCGGCCUACUGGUUUCGGAGCGCAGCACAAGUCGCACUCUCUAUCAGCAAAGGUCUAGCAUCCAUUAAGCCUUUUUUUCAACUUUGACCUCGGAUCAGGUAGGAUCCCGAUUUUG
RNAcentral lists this ribosomal RNA (576 nucleotides) under Alternaria alternata. Its description in RNAcentral is "eukaryotic LSU rRNA". The stretch from base 229 to 382 matches the Rfam family "5.8S ribosomal RNA". Lineage: Eukaryota; Fungi; Ascomycota; Dothideomycetes; Pleosporales; Pleosporaceae. The record is from RNAcentral.